This 258-nucleotide long non-coding RNA is filed under the name Elaeis guineensis (African oil palm). RNAcentral's name for it is "long non-coding RNA (EGUI_LNC067172)". The record is from RNAcentral. Lineage: Eukaryota; Viridiplantae; Streptophyta; Magnoliopsida; Arecales; Arecaceae.
UCCACAAGAAAUUCUUUGUGCACCGCGAGCAGAACACACACAUUACCCACGGUGAUUGGCUCACACGCGGAGCCGGAGCGCUGUACACGAAAAAAAAAAUUUUUUUGAUCCCAUGUGUGAACCAAUCACCAUAAGCGGAAUGCGCGGUUUUGCACCAUCCACAUCUACAGUGCACAAAGAAUUUCACAGCACCCCACAUAUCCGUGUGCUGCAACCUGGGCUCGGAUCCGGGAUAUUUGGGCCAUGCACCUGGGUAUU